AAUCUUGCGCAAUGGGCGAAAGCCUGACGCAGCCAUGCCGCGUGAAUGAUGAAGGUCUUAGGAUUGUAAAAUUCUUUCUCCGGGGACGAUAAUUACGGUACCCGGAGAAGAAGCCCCGGCUAAAUUCCUUCCAGCAGCGGCGGUAAUACGGAGGGGGCUAGCGUUGUCAGGGAUUACUGGGCGUAAAGGGCGAGUAGGCGGACAUUUAAGUCAGGGGUGAAAUCCCAGAGCUCAAAUCUGGAACUGCCUUUGAUACUGGGUGUCUUGAGUGUGAGAGAAGUAUGUGGAACUCCGAGUGUAGAGGUGAAAUUCGUAGAUAUUCGGAAGAACACCAGUGGCGAAGGCGACAUACUGGCUCAUUACUGACGCUGAGGCGCGAAAGCGUGGGGAGCAAACAG
Molecule: ribosomal RNA, 398 nt
Filed under: uncultured bacterium
Lineage: Bacteria
Description: partial 16S ribosomal RNA
Rfam family: Bacterial small subunit ribosomal RNA
Source: RNAcentral